This 482-nucleotide ribosomal RNA is filed under the name uncultured bacterium. RNAcentral's name for it is "partial 16S ribosomal RNA". It matches the Rfam family "Bacterial small subunit ribosomal RNA", at positions 30 to 507 of the family's 1533-position model. The record is from RNAcentral.
AUUGAACGCUGGCGGCAUGCCUUACACAUGCAAGUCGAACGGUAACGGGCCUUCGGGUGCCGACGAGUGGCGCACGGGUGAGUAAUACAUCGGAACGUGCCCGAUCGUGGGGGAUAACGAGGCGAAAGCUUUGCUAAUACCGCAUACGAUCUACGGAUGAAAGCAGGGGACCGCAAGGCCUUGCGCGGACGGAGCGGCCGAUGGCAGAUUAGGUAGUUGGUGGGAUAAAAGCUUACCAAGCCGACGAUCUGUAGCUGGUCUGAGAGGAUGAUCAGCCACACUGGGACUGAGACACGGCCCAGACUCCUACGGGAGGCAGCAGUGGGGAAUUUUGGACAAUGGGCGCAAGCCUGAUCCAGCCAUGCCGCGUGCAGGAUGAAGGCCUUCGGGUUGUAAACUGCUUUUGUACGGAACGAAAAGCCUUCUAUUAAUACAGGAGGGUCAUGACGGUACCGUAAGAAUAAGCACCGGCUAACUACGUG